UCCCAUCCCGAACACGGAAGUUAAGCUUCUCAGCGCCGAUGGUAGUUGGGGGCUCUCCCCCUGCAAGAGUAGGACGUUGCCAGGC
This 85-nucleotide ribosomal RNA is filed under the name Heyndrickxia sporothermodurans. The record is from RNAcentral. Lineage: Bacteria; Bacillati; Bacillota; Bacilli; Caryophanales; Bacillaceae.